AGGUAGAGCUCAGAGGUAAAGCAAGUGCUUAGCAUGCACGAGGUUCUGGGUUCAAUCCCCAGUACCU
RNAcentral lists this transfer RNA (67 nucleotides) under Camelus bactrianus (Bactrian camel). It matches the Rfam family "tRNA". From Rfam's summary of the family: Transfer RNA (tRNA) molecules are approximately 80 nucleotides in length. Their secondary structure includes four short double-helical elements and three loops (D, anti-codon, and T loops). Further hydrogen bonds mediate the characteristic L-shaped molecular structure. tRNAs have two regions of fundamental functional importance: the anti-codon, which is responsible for specific mRNA codon recognition, and the 3' end, to which the tRNAs corresponding amino acid is attached (by aminoacyl-tRNA synthetases). tRNAs cope with the degeneracy of the genetic code in two manners: having more than one tRNA (with a specific anti-codon) for a particular amino acid; and 'wobble' base-pairing, i.e. permitting non-standard base-pairing at the 3rd anti-codon position. Lineage: Eukaryota; Metazoa; Chordata; Mammalia; Artiodactyla; Camelidae. The record is from Rfam by way of RNAcentral. RNAcentral also lists the same sequence under 1 other name.